Molecule: ribosomal RNA, 435 nt
Filed under: Proteus mirabilis
Lineage: Bacteria; Pseudomonadati; Pseudomonadota; Gammaproteobacteria; Enterobacterales; Morganellaceae
Description: bacterial SSU rRNA
Rfam family: Bacterial small subunit ribosomal RNA
Source: RNAcentral
CAUGGCUCAGAUUGAACGCUGGCGGCAGGCCUAACACAUGCAAGUCGAGCGGUAACAGGAGAAAGCUUGCUUUCUUGCUGACGAGCGGCGGACGGGUGAGUAAUGUAUGGGGAUCUGCCCGAUAGAGGGGGAUAACUACUGGAAACGGUGGCUAAUACCGCAUAAUGUCUACGGACCAAAGCAGGGGCUCUUCGGACCUUGCACUAUCGGAUGAACCCAUAUGGGAUUAGCUAGUAGGUGGGGUAAAGGCUCACCUAGGCGACGAUCUCUAGCUGGUCUGAGAGGAUGAUCAGCCACACUGGGACUGAGACACGGCCCAGACUCCUACGGGAGGCAGCAGUGGGGAAUAUUGCACAAUGGGCGCAAGCCUGAUGCAGCCAUGCCGCGUGUAUGAAGAAGGCCUUAGGGUUGUAAAGUACUUUCAGCGGGGAGGAA